CCUACGGGAGGCAGCAGUGGGGAAUAUUGCACAAUGGGGGAGACCCUGAUGCAGCGACGCCGCGUGAGCGAAGAAGUCUUUCGGUAUGUAAAGCUCUAUCAGCAGGGAAGAAAAUGACGGUACCUGAGUACGCAUCUCCGGCUAAAUACGUGCCAGCAGCCGCGGUAAUACGUAUGGAGCAAGCGUUAUCCGGAUUUACUGGGCGUAACGGGAGCGUAGGCGGCCUGCCAAGUCUGAUGUGAAAUACCGGGGCUCAACCCCGGGGCUGCAUUGGAAACUGGCAGGCUGGAGUGCAGGAGAGGCAGGCGGAAGUCCUAGUGUAGCGGUGAAAUGCGUAGAUAUUAGGAGGAACACCAGUGGCGAAGGCGGCUUGCUGGACGGUGACUGACGCUGAGGCUCGAAAGCGUGGGGAGCAAACAGGAUUAGAUACCCGAGUAGUC
RNAcentral lists this ribosomal RNA (440 nucleotides) under uncultured bacterium. RNAcentral's name for it is "partial 16S ribosomal RNA". It matches the Rfam family "Bacterial small subunit ribosomal RNA", at positions 338 to 795 of the family's 1533-position model. The record is from RNAcentral.